This 424-nucleotide ribosomal RNA is filed under the name uncultured bacterium. Its description in RNAcentral is "bacterial SSU rRNA". It matches the Rfam family "Bacterial small subunit ribosomal RNA", at positions 355 to 776 of the family's 1533-position model. The record is from RNAcentral.
UGAGGAAUAUUGGUCAAUGGGCGCAAGCCUGAACCAGCCAUCCCGCGUGAAGGAAGAAGGCGCUAUGCGUCGUAAACUUCUUUUCCAGGGGGAGAAUUUUCCGGUCGUGACCGGAAUUGACGGUACUCUGGGAAUAAGCAUCGGCUAACUCCGUGCCAGCAGCCGCGGUAAUACGGAGGAUGCGAGCGUUAUCCGGAUUUAUUGGGUUUAAAGGGUGCGUAGGCGGAUCAAUAAGUCAGUGGUGAAAUUCUGCAGCUUAACUGUAGACUUGCCAUUGAUACUGUUGGUCUUGAGUAUGGUCAAGGUAGGCGGAAUGUGUAAUGUAGCGGUGAAAUGCUUAGAUAUUACACAGAACACCGAUUGCGAAGGCAGCUUGCUGGGCCAAUACUGACGCUGAUGCACGAAAGCGUGGGGAUCGAACAGG